This 108-nucleotide small RNA is filed under the name Meridianimaribacter flavus. RNAcentral describes it as "Flavo-1 RNA". It matches the Rfam family "Flavo-1 RNA", at positions 9 to 76 of the family's 76-position model. Lineage: Bacteria; Pseudomonadati; Bacteroidota; Flavobacteriia; Flavobacteriales; Flavobacteriaceae. The record is from RNAcentral.
UAGGGAUUAAAGUGGCAUCCUUUUUUGCGUCAGUUCGAGUGUCCCGACAUAAAGGUCGGGAUGUAUCGAGAACAAGUAAAAAAGAUAUAACGGAAAGCCCGACCUUUA